RNAcentral lists this ribosomal RNA (515 nucleotides) under uncultured bacterium. RNAcentral's name for it is "partial 16S ribosomal RNA". It matches the Rfam family "Bacterial small subunit ribosomal RNA", at positions 28 to 523 of the family's 1533-position model. The record is from RNAcentral.
GAUGAACGCUGGCGGCGUGCCUAAUACAUGCAAGUCGAGCGAAUGGAUUAAGAGCUUGCUCUUAUGAAGUUAGCGGCGGACGGGUGAGUAACACGUGGGUAACCUGCCCAUAAGACUGGGAUAACUCCGGGAAACCGGGGCUAAUACCGGAUAACAUUUUGAACCGCAUGGUGCGAAAUUGAAAGGCGGCUUCGGCUGUCACUUAGGGAUGGACCCGCGUCGCAUUAGCUAGUUGGUGGGGUAACGGCUCACCAAGGCAACGAUGCGUAGCCGACCUGAGAGGGUGAUCGGCCACACUGGGACUGAGACACGGCCCAGACUCCUACGGGAGGCAGCAGUAGGGAAUCUUCCGCAAUGGACGAAAGUCUGACGGAGCAACGCCGCGUGAGUGAUGAAGGCUUUCGGGUCGUAAAACUCCGUUGUUAGGGAAGAACAAGUGCUAGUUGAAUAAGCUGGCACCUUGACGGUACCUAACCAGAAAGCCACGGCUAACUACGUGCCAGCCGCCGCCGUAA